This 501-nucleotide ribosomal RNA is filed under the name Bactrocera peneobscura. Its description in RNAcentral is "partial large subunit ribosomal RNA". It matches the Rfam family "Bacterial large subunit ribosomal RNA", at positions 1799 to 2568 of the family's 2925-position model. Lineage: Eukaryota; Metazoa; Arthropoda; Insecta; Diptera; Tephritidae. The record is from RNAcentral.
CCUGUUUAACAAAAACAUGUCUUUUUGAGUUAUUUUUAAAGUCUGACCUGCCCACUGAAAUUAUUUAAAUGGCCGCAGUAUUCUAACUGUGCAAAGGUAGCAUAAUCAUUAGUCUUUUAAUUGAAGGCUGGUAUGAACGGUUGGACGAGGUAUAAGCUGUUUCAUAUAAAUUUAUAGUAGAAUUUUAUAUUUUAGUCAAAAAGCUAAAAUUUAAUUAAAAGACGAGAAGACCCUAUAAAUCUUUAUAUUUUUUGUUGUUUAAAUUUUUUGGAUUAUUUUUAUUUUUAUAAUUUGAAGUAUUUUGUUGGGGUGAUAUUAAAAUUUAAUGAACUUUUAAUUUUUAAAAAUCAUUAAUUUAUGAGUUAUUGAUCCAUUAAUAGUGAUUAUAAGAUUAAGUUACUUUAGGGAUAACAGCGUAAUUUUUUUGGAGAGUUCAUAUUGAUAAAAAAGUUUGCGACCUCGAUGUUGGAUUAAGAUAAUUUUAGGUGUAGUCGCUUAAAC